GACGGACGCUGGCGGCGUGCUUAACACAUGCAAGUCGAACGGAAAGGCCCUGCUUUUGUGGGGUGCUCGAGUGGCGAACGGGUGAGUAACACGUGAGUAACCUACCCUUGACUUUGGGAUAACUUCAGGAAACUGGGGCUAAUACCGGAUAGGAGCUCCUGCUGCAUGGUGGGGGUUGGAAAGUUUCGGCGGUUGGGGAUGGACUCGCGGCUUAUCAGCUUGUUGGUGGGGUAGUGGCUUACCAAGGCUUUGACGGGUAGCCGGCCUGAGAGGGUGACCGGCCACAUUGGGACUGAGAUACGGCCCAGACUCCUACGGGAGGCAGCAGUGGGGAAUAUUGCACAAUGGGCGGAAGCCUGAUGCAGCAACGCCGCGUGCGGGAUGACGGCCUUCGGGUUGUAAACCGCUUUCGCCUGUGACGAAGCGUGAGUGACGGUAAUGGGUAAAGAAGCACCGGCUAACUACGUG
This 468-nucleotide ribosomal RNA is filed under the name uncultured bacterium. Its description in RNAcentral is "partial 16S ribosomal RNA". It matches the Rfam family "Bacterial small subunit ribosomal RNA", at positions 28 to 507 of the family's 1533-position model. The record is from RNAcentral.